This 174-nucleotide small nuclear RNA is filed under the name Alligator mississippiensis (American alligator). Its description in RNAcentral is "U2 spliceosomal RNA". It matches the Rfam family "U2 spliceosomal RNA". From Rfam's summary of the family: U2 is a small nuclear RNA (snRNA) component of the spliceosome (involved in pre-mRNA splicing). Complementary binding between U2 snRNA (in an area lying towards the 5' end but 3' to hairpin I) and the branchpoint sequence (BPS) of the intron results the bulging out of an unpaired adenosine, on the BPS, which initiates a nucleophilic attack at the intronic 5' splice site, thus starting the first of two transesterification reactions that mediate splicing. Lineage: Eukaryota; Metazoa; Chordata; Crocodylia; Alligatoridae. The record is from Rfam by way of RNAcentral.
ACAUCUACUAAUAAAAGUCAACCUGUUCUUAUCAGCUGUAAUAUCUGAUACAUCCUCCAUUGGAGGCUGUGUAUUGAGCACAUUUUUGGUCCCGGGAGGUGGAACAGGAGCUUGCUCCGUCCCCUCCGUGCAUCGGCCUGGUAUUGCAGUGCUUCCAGGAGCGGUGCACCCCUC